GUUUGCAGUACCCAGCUGAGUACAUUCGUAUUUGGCGGCUCGGAGGAGGAACUCCCGGCUGCGGCUCCAGGAGACGUCCUGGCGGC
This is a non-coding RNA of Cricetulus griseus (Chinese hamster), 86 nucleotides long. The record is from Rfam. NCBI's taxonomy places the organism in Eukaryota, Metazoa, Chordata, Mammalia, Rodentia, Cricetidae.